GCCCGUCGCGGCCAGCACGGCCCCUGGACCAAGCAGGCCCCGCGCAGACGGUUCCCGCCCCAUCCCGCCACCCAGGCCUGCCCCGCCCCGCCCUGCGCUCCGGAGCCCGCCCGGGGCGCCAAGGUUUCGGCGAAACCGCUCAGGCCUUCUUCCUGAAUCUGGCCAUGUCUACAGUCAGGCCUUCAGCUUCCCCGCCUGUGCUCAGCUUCCAGCCUCCCGGUCAGUCCUCCCUUCGUCCACCGAACGCACUGAAGGCCGUUGCUCAGCUGACUCACCUGCUUCUGUAUGAAAUGCAGACCUUCCCGAA
Meriones unguiculatus (Mongolian gerbil) is the source of this 307-nucleotide long non-coding RNA. RefSeq lists it as uncharacterized. The transcript has 2 exons. The record is from RefSeq and is a predicted model, not a curated record. NCBI's taxonomy places the organism in Eukaryota, Metazoa, Chordata, Mammalia, Rodentia, Muridae.